This 333-nucleotide long non-coding RNA is filed under the name Pongo abelii (Sumatran orangutan). RNAcentral describes it as "lincRNA". Lineage: Eukaryota; Metazoa; Chordata; Mammalia; Primates; Hominidae. The record is from RNAcentral.
ACCAAACCAAUGCACAACUCCUAUGUACUGAUGGUGAUCUUACAUAUCCCGAAGCUACUGCCCGACUACGCUGUGCAACGUUCUCAGGGCCUCCUGAAGCUGCGUCAGGCGUCAAUCAAAGAACACAACCAAGAGUUUGGCCUUUUCUUCAGCACUGGGAAUUGUGAUCCAAAGCUUUUCCUGAUGAAGCACAAUCUUGGAGAAGCAAAACGCAAACUAAACAACAACAAUCAAACAGAACAGAGUUAAUCUGCUGUAGCUCAAGGGAGGACGUACCUGCCCCACCCCGCAUUCCCGAGCUCGGGUUUGCCUUGCUGACCUCUGCUGCCACCU